GACGAACGCUGGCGGCGUGCUUAACACAUGCAAGUCGAACGGAAAGGCCCUGCUUUUGUGGGGUGCUCGAGUGGCGAACGGGUGAGUAACACGUGAGUAACCUGCCCUUGACUUUGGGAUAACUUCAGGAAACUGGGGCUAAUACCGGAUAGGAGCUCCUGCUGCAUGGUGGGGGUUGGAAAGUUUCGGCGGUUGGGGAUGGACUCGCGGCUUAUCAGCUUGUUGGUGGGGUAGUGGCUUACCAAGGCUUUGACGGGUAGCCGGCCUGAGAGGGUGACCGGGCACAUUGGGACUGAGAUACGGACCAGACUCCUACGGGAGGCAGCAGUGGGGAAUAUUGCACAAUGGGCGGAAGCCUGAUGCAGCAACGCCGCGUGCGGGAUGACGGCCUUCGGGUGGUAAACCGCUUUCGCCUGUGACGAAGCGUGAGUGACGGUAAUGGGUAAAGAAGCACCGGCUAACUACGUG
RNAcentral lists this ribosomal RNA (468 nucleotides) under uncultured bacterium. RNAcentral describes it as "partial 16S ribosomal RNA". It matches the Rfam family "Bacterial small subunit ribosomal RNA", at positions 28 to 507 of the family's 1533-position model. The record is from RNAcentral.